RNAcentral lists this ribosomal RNA (264 nucleotides) under uncultured Oscillibacter sp. RNAcentral describes it as "partial 16S ribosomal RNA". It matches the Rfam family "Bacterial small subunit ribosomal RNA", at positions 69 to 339 of the family's 1533-position model. Lineage: Bacteria; Bacillati; Bacillota; Clostridia; Eubacteriales; Oscillospiraceae. The record is from RNAcentral.
AGAUUAUUUCGAUAAUCUUAGUGGCGAACGGGUGAGUAACGCGUGGGCAACCUGCCCUGCAGUGGGGGACAACAGUUGGAAACGACUGCUAAUACCGCAUGACACAUUGGGGUCGCAUGGCCUUGAUGUCAAAGAUUUAUCGCUGAAAGAUGGCCUCGCGUCUGAUUAGCUAGUUGGUGAGGUAACGGCCCACCAAGGCGACGAUCAGUAGCCGGACUGAGAGGUUGACCGGCCACAUUGGGACUGAGAUACGGCCCAGACUCC